AUACUUACCUGGCAGGGGAGACACCUUGAUCACAAAGGAAGUUUUCCCAGGGUGAGGCUCAGCCAUUGCACUCCGGCUGUGCUGACCCCUGCGAUUUCCCCAAAUGAGGGAAACUCGACUGUGUAAUUUGUGGUAAGCAUAUAUAUAUAUAUAUAUAUAUAUAUA
This 165-nucleotide small nuclear RNA is filed under the name Salvator merianae (Argentine black and white tegu). RNAcentral's name for it is "U1 spliceosomal RNA (ENSSMRG00000007050.1)". It matches the Rfam family "U1 spliceosomal RNA". Rfam says of the family: U1 is a small nuclear RNA (snRNA) component of the spliceosome (involved in pre-mRNA splicing). The record is from RNAcentral. Lineage: Eukaryota; Metazoa; Chordata; Lepidosauria; Squamata; Teiidae.